This 380-nucleotide ribosomal RNA is filed under the name uncultured bacterium. RNAcentral describes it as "bacterial SSU rRNA". It matches the Rfam family "Bacterial small subunit ribosomal RNA", at positions 28 to 407 of the family's 1533-position model. The record is from RNAcentral.
GACGAACGCUGGCGGCGUGCUUAACACAUGCAAGUCGAGCGGUAAGGCCCUUUCGGGGGUACACGAGCGGCGAACGGGUGAGUAACACGUGGGUGACCUGCCCUUACGCUCUGGGAUAAGCCUGGGAAACUGGGUCUAAUACCGGAUAUGACUCCAUGACGCAUGUUGUGGGGUGGAAAGCCUUGUGCGGCUAGGGAUGGGCCUGCGGCCUAUCAGCUUGUUGGUGGGGUGAUGGCCUACCAAGGCGACGACGGGUAGCCGGCCUGAGAGGGCGACCGGCCACACUGGGACUGAGACACGGCCCAGACUCCUACGGGAGGCAGCAGUGGGGGAAUCUUGCGCAAUGGGCGAAAGCCUGACGCAGCGACGCCGCGUGGGGA